UGGGGAAUAUUGCACAAUGGGCGCAAGCCUGAUGCAGCCAUGCCGCGUGUGUGAAGAAGGCCUUCGGGUUGUAAAGCACUUUCAGCGGGGAGGAAGGCGAUAAGGUUAAUAACCUUGUCGAUUGACGUUACCCGCAGAAGAAGCACCGGCUAACUCCGUGCCAGCAGCCGCGGUAAUACGGAGGGUGCAAGCGUUAAUCGGAAUUACUGGGCGUAAAGCGCACGCAGGCGGUCUGUCAAGUCGGAUGUGAAAUCCCCGGGCUCAACCUGGGAACUGCAUUCGAAACUGGCAGGCUAGAGUCUUGUAGAGGGGGGUAGAAUUCCAGGUGUAGCGGUGAAAUGCGUAGAGAUCUGGAGGCAUACCGGUGGCGAAAGCGGCCCCCUGGACAAAGACUGACGCUCAGGUGCGAAAGCGUGGGGAGCAAACAGG
RNAcentral lists this ribosomal RNA (429 nucleotides) under Chloroflexota bacterium. RNAcentral describes it as "Chloroflexi bacterium partial 16S ribosomal RNA". It matches the Rfam family "Bacterial small subunit ribosomal RNA", at positions 355 to 776 of the family's 1533-position model. The record is from RNAcentral. Lineage: Bacteria; Bacillati; Chloroflexota.